AGGUAAAUGUCAGUGAACUUGGUCUUGUGACUCAGGGCGGUAAAGUUAUAUGGGGUAAAUACGCACAAGUGAUGAAUAAUCCAGAAAACGAUGGGUGUAUUAAUGCUGUCCUUCUUGUAUAACAAAUUCACCAAUAAGAGACUCGUUCAACAAUGUACAUUAAAAGCUUUAAUGUAUAAAACAAUACACACAGCACCAACCACAGGAAUAAAAAUAAUAUUUAUUUGUAAAAUCUAUUGUCAGUUGAUUGAAAUAAAUACUUGUUAUAUUACAUACUGUAAA
Molecule: long non-coding RNA, 282 nt
Organism: Saccoglossus kowalevskii
Lineage: Eukaryota; Metazoa; Hemichordata; Enteropneusta; Harrimaniidae
Source: RefSeq, a predicted model, not a curated record